CCUACGGGAGGCAGCAGUGGGGAAUAUUGCACAAUGGGGGAAACCCUGAUGCAGCGACGCCGCGUGAGUGAAGAAGUAAUUCGUUAUGUAAAGCUCUAUCAGCAGGGAAGAAAAUGACGGUACCUGAGUAAGAAGCCCCGGCUAACUACGUGCUAGCAGCCGCGGUAAUACGUAGGGGGCAAGCGUUAUCCGGAUUUACUGGGUGUAAAGGGAGCGUAGACGGCAGUGCAAGUCUGGAGUGAAAGGCGGGGGCUCAACCCCCGGACUGCCCUGGAAACUGUACGGCUUGAGUGCAGGAGAGGUAAGUGGAAUUCCUAGUGUAGCGGUGAAAUGCGUAGAUAUUAGGAGGAACACCAGUGGCGAAGGCGGCUUACUGGACUGUAACUGACGUUGAGGCUCGAAAGCGUGGGGAGCAAACAGGAUUAGAUACCCGAGUAGUC
Molecule: ribosomal RNA, 440 nt
Filed under: uncultured bacterium
Lineage: Bacteria
Description: partial 16S ribosomal RNA
Rfam family: Bacterial small subunit ribosomal RNA
Source: RNAcentral